GAUGAAGAACGUAGCGAAAUGCGAUAAUUAAUGUGAAUUGCAGAAUUCCGUGAAUCAUCGAGUUUUUGAACGCAUAUUGCGCCCCUUGGUAUUCCGAGGGGCAUGCCUGUCCGAGCGUCAUUGCAACCCUUCAAGCACGGCUUGUGUGUUGGACGGCCGCCCCAGUGUGGGCGGGUCCCAAAUGCAGUGGCGGCGCCGCGAUCCGGGUGCUCGAGUGCAUGGAAACCACGCGCUCGUUAGGCCCCGUCGGGCGCCGGCCGACCUAAUUAUCUUCGUUCUGGUUGACCUCGGAUCAGGUAGGAAUACCCGCUGAACUUAAGCAUAUCAGUAAGCGGAGGA
This 339-nucleotide unclassified non-coding RNA is filed under the name soil metagenome. RNAcentral describes it as "partial contains 5.8S ribosomal RNA, internal transcribed spacer 2, and large subunit ribosomal RNA". The stretch from base 1 to 120 matches the Rfam family "5.8S ribosomal RNA", at positions 35 to 154 of the family's 154-position model. The record is from RNAcentral.